RNAcentral lists this ribosomal RNA (401 nucleotides) under uncultured bacterium. RNAcentral's name for it is "bacterial SSU rRNA". It matches the Rfam family "Bacterial small subunit ribosomal RNA", at positions 32 to 417 of the family's 1533-position model. The record is from RNAcentral.
AAUCAACGCUGGCGGCGUGCCUAACACAUGCAAGUCGAACGCGAAAGUCCCGCAAGGGAUAAGUAGAGUGGCAAACGGGUGAGUAACACGUGGGUGACCUGCCUUCGAGCGGGGGAUAACGUCCCGAAAGGGACGCUAAUACCGCAUAAUAUGCCGCCUUUUAACAGGUGGACAUCAAAGCUGGGGAUCGCAAGACCUAGCACUUGAAGAGGGGCCCGCGUCUGAUUAGCAGUUGGUGGGGUAAUGGCUCACCAAGGCAACGAUCAGUAUCCGGCCUGAGAGGGCGGACGGACACACUGGGACUGAGACACGGCCCAGACUCCUACGGGAGGCAGCAGUGGGGAAUUGUUCGCAAUGGGCGCAAGCCUGACGACGCAACGCCGCGUGGAGGAUGAAGACCU